AUUUGUCCUUGACAGGCAUGGCCUGCGGCCGGUGGCAGCGGUCGCACUAAAAAGGGCUGACCAUGGAGGCCACUUCUGCUGAGAAUUGUUGUGAAGCUUUGGACAAGUUGACAUCUAUCUUAUAUGAAGGAGAGAAGCCAGAAUACCAAGAUGCUCUGGAGCACAGACUGGCAUUACUGACCAGCUGGAUUCAGCUAGAAAGAAACAAAGUGCUCAAGGAGUCAUUGGAGCACCUAUUAGGAUCAGAUGAUUUCCAGUCACAAGAGGAAAGUAAUCCCAAUUUCAGAUUUUCCCUGACUGUGCUGGCCCUGCUGGAGUGCCUGCGUCGCGCGCUGGCGGCCGCGCGC
Long non-coding RNA from Pollicipes pollicipes, 347 nucleotides. RefSeq lists it as uncharacterized. The transcript has 4 exons. NCBI's taxonomy places the organism in Eukaryota, Metazoa, Arthropoda, Thecostraca, Pollicipedomorpha, Pollicipedidae. The record is from RefSeq and is a predicted model, not a curated record.